Molecule: ribosomal RNA, 245 nt
Filed under: uncultured Eubacteriales bacterium
Lineage: Bacteria; Bacillati; Bacillota; Clostridia; Eubacteriales
Description: uncultured Clostridiales bacterium partial 16S ribosomal RNA
Rfam family: Bacterial small subunit ribosomal RNA
Source: RNAcentral
UACGUAGGGUGCGAGCGUUGUCCGGAAUGACUGGGUGUAAAGGGUGUGUAGGUGGCUUUUUAAGUUAAAAGUGAAAGCCCGGGGCUUAACUCCGGAACUGCUUUUAAUACUGGAUGGCUUGAGUGUGGGAGAGGUAAGUGGAACUCCUAGUGUAGCGGUGGAAUGCGUAGAUAUUAGGAAGAACAUCAGAGGCGAAGGCGACUUACUGGAACAUUACUGACACUGAAACACGAAAGCGUGGGGAG